Molecule: non-coding RNA, 81 nt
Organism: Podarcis lilfordi (Lilford's wall lizard)
Lineage: Eukaryota; Metazoa; Chordata; Lepidosauria; Squamata; Lacertidae
Source: the annotation of a GenBank genome assembly
CCAUCUCUGUCUUAUGAAAGCUGGUUAGGGCAUGGUGCUGAUAACGCCAAGGUUGCAGGUUCAACCCCCCUGUGGGAUGGC